GGCCUAACCCGUUAAGUUCGCUUAACGGUAUGGUCGAAAAUCGAGACAAACAGAAAACCCGUUAUCAGGGCGUUUGUCUCGUUGCACAGGGAAACUUGUGUAGGAGCUUCGGCUCU
This 116-nucleotide small RNA is filed under the name unclassified sequences. Its description in RNAcentral is "LOOT RNA". It matches the Rfam family "LOOT RNA". From Rfam's summary of the family: Latescibacteria, OD1/Parcubacteria, OP11, TM7. Lineage (Microgenomates, aka OP11) The record is from Rfam by way of RNAcentral.